This is a long non-coding RNA of Bacillus rossius redtenbacheri, 821 nucleotides long. RefSeq lists it as uncharacterized. Lineage: Eukaryota; Metazoa; Arthropoda; Insecta; Phasmatodea; Bacillidae. The record is from RefSeq and is a predicted model, not a curated record. The transcript is spliced from 3 exons.
UUUACAAGGAACAUCUUCGGAGAUUCAGUUUGCCAAGAUAUCACUUGUAAUUUGUAAAAAUUAUAAACUUUUAGUUUUUGACGUGAUAACGUCUUAUAAAGCCGAUGAACUCCGGCUGAGCACGCACGAAAAAUUGUCACGUUCCGCCUGAGCCGAGCGUGCAAGAACCGGCCAACCACCGUGCGAGGAAAAUCUUCUAUAAUAUCAAACAGUGUAUGUAUGCACGCGGGUUCCUGACCGCUGUUAGCCCCAGCCUUCUCGGGGCGCGCCUUGUGCUGUGGUCGGUCGGCGUGGUGCGGGUCCGGUGAGAGCCGUGCUGGCCUCGCGGUCAGGGGUCAUGGACCUGGUGCCCGGGUCACAGACAGCCGGAGCAGCGACAGCAGCCGGCGACAGGCAGGGUGUUGGAGCUUCGGCAAUGAACUAGCGGCCAGGGCCACCGACCCAGCGUAGUCGCCGCCUCAGCCCCUCCACCGCUACCGGCUGACGGGGACAGACAGCCGGAGCAGCGACAGCAGACGGCGCCCGCUCAGUCCUCCAGGAUCUGCAUGCGGAAGAGCUUGCCGUGGCCCGCCGCGCGCGCUCGACCCCCGCCGUCGAUGUCGUCGUCGGAGCCUUCCUGCGGCAAGUCCUGGUACUCGUCCAGCUGCAACCAUCACACACCGCCGGCACUGCGGCUGCCCUGGUGUCCACUCACGAGGCGGCGAACAUGCGUGCAACAUGAUAUUGUAAUUAUAGAGAACUUCGUUAAAUCUACAAUGUAACGUUCCUAACUUCACGAUUGCAAAUAUAUAUAUAUAAAGAAUAUAAAUAUAAUCCACCAA